This 474-nucleotide ribosomal RNA is filed under the name Triticum aestivum (bread wheat). RNAcentral describes it as "partial small subunit ribosomal RNA". Lineage: Eukaryota; Viridiplantae; Streptophyta; Magnoliopsida; Poales; Poaceae. The record is from RNAcentral.
AUGGCGUCGCAGGAAGAACCGAGAGGAUCUCGUCAGGGCAAGGAACCUGUGGAAGAGCUCCUGAGCCGGUUGGAACUGCAGGAAGAUGAAGAGGAUCACUUCGUCUGGGAGGAGGAAUUCAAAGAGGAGAAGAUCGAAUCCAAGUGGCUUGCGAUCGCGAAGGUACACACUGAAAAGAGUUUCAGUCCCUCCGCUCUCUAUGCCGAUAUGAGAUCAGUCUGGAACCCAGCAAAGCCGGUUCGCUGGCGCAGGGUGGAUGAGAAUCUUUUUACAGUUCAAUUUGGAUGCUUGGGUGAUUGGAAUACUGCCAUGAAUUUGGGGCCAUGGCUGUUUAGGAACCAAGGGCUUCUAAUAGCUGAGUAUGAUGGAUUUAUGAACCCGAAAUCGAUCGUUCUGAAUACAAUAACUGUUUGGGCUAGGAUCCUCAAGUUGCGACAACUAUCUCUUCCCGGCUGCAAUUAUGGGCAUGUGUAG